UUCAGAAUGGCCGAGUGGUCUAAGGCGCUGCGUUCAGCUCACAGUCUCCCCUGGAGGCGUGGGUUCGAAUCCCACUCCUGACU
This 83-nucleotide transfer RNA is filed under the name Camelus bactrianus (Bactrian camel). It matches the Rfam family "tRNA". Rfam says of the family: Transfer RNA (tRNA) molecules are approximately 80 nucleotides in length. Lineage: Eukaryota; Metazoa; Chordata; Mammalia; Artiodactyla; Camelidae. The record is from Rfam by way of RNAcentral. RNAcentral also lists the same sequence under 1 other name.